Molecule: small RNA, 166 nt
Filed under: Chrysemys picta bellii (western painted turtle)
Lineage: Eukaryota; Metazoa; Chordata; Testudines; Emydidae
Description: TUC338 (ENSCPBG00000001163.1)
Source: RNAcentral
AUAACAUUUGUAGCAGGUGAAGUUCUAUUGUAUAUCCAAAGAACAGGACAAUGGGAGUGCAAGCUUCCCCACUCUGCCCUACUAUUGUGCCUCUGCACUGACCUGGAGGGAUCAUCUCUAGGGCUGAAGGCAGUUCACUCUCCAUCCAUGUUCCCUCUCAGUUUUU